UAUUUCUUCACUCUCUCUCUCUCUCUAACAUUCCUUCUCUUUAAUCUCUCUCUUACUCUUUCACCGUCUCCCGACCCUAACCACCAUGGCCUGGCCUUCGGCCUCCCUCAAACUACUUUGGACAUCAUACCAACACCCCCCAAACCCAUAUUCCGAUGAAUGUUCAUCACGACAUUCAUCACCCCAAGAACCCUAACCCAAUUUGUUCAAUCAUGAACCCAGAAACACUCAAAAUCCAUGAACCCUGGAAAUAAUCAAGAAUCCUAACCCUCCUUUUUAUGAACCCCAAGGUUCAUCACUGAAUCCUAACCCUAAAAGGGAAGAAACCUAACCCUAAACAUUACCCAAAAACCCCAAAACACACAUCAAAAAUAUGGAUUGAACAUCUACAUCAAUAGAUCCUAAUAUGCAUCACAAAACCCUAAUCCCUUUUUAUCCUGAACCGCAUUCAACAUAUCAAGCAUAGACAAAAAACGCAAACAUCUAAUAAUGUCAAAAUAAAGUUUAAAGAGAGAAAAAACCAACCCUCAGAGACGUGGCUUUCUCUAGUAAGGUCCCAAUGGAAUGGAGGUCAAGUUCAAGUACGAAUAUGGUUUGACGCUAACCCUAAUCAACCAGAUUUUGGAGCUCUUGUGAGGAUUACAGAUUAUUGCUUCUAUGGAUUCCAGAAUUCUUCCUAGGGUCCUCUUUUAUGUUUUAGCAUUUAGGUUUUUAUAAAUUAAGGCUUAUGCUUAACAUUUAAUUUGAUUGAUUAGUUUAAAGAAUUUUAGGAUUUAAUUGUAAUUAGAUUGGUUGUAAAUUGAUCAAUUUUUUAUUUUGUCCAAAAGUAGAUUCUAGGGUUUUCAAAUUUUAUGAUGUAUUUGGUCCAUUUUUAAUUGUAAUUUGUAAUUAUAAUGUAUUUGAAUCCCUAAACAGAGAAAUUUGAUUGAAAUUGAAA
Molecule: long non-coding RNA, 937 nt
Organism: Lathyrus oleraceus (garden pea)
Lineage: Eukaryota; Viridiplantae; Streptophyta; Magnoliopsida; Fabales; Fabaceae
Exons: 2
Source: RefSeq, a predicted model, not a curated record